RNAcentral lists this transfer RNA (113 nucleotides) under Candidatus Woesearchaeota archaeon. RNAcentral describes it as "tRNA-Val". The record is from RNAcentral. Lineage: Archaea; Nanobdellati; Candidatus Woesearchaeota.
GGGCCUGUGGUCUAGCGGUUACACGCAACUAGCGUUGCUAGGUGUACGGCGUUGCCGCAUAUGACAACACCCUUACACGGUGUAGGUCACCAGUUCGAAUCUGGUCGGGCCCA